UAGUCCACGCCCUAAACGAUGUCAACUAGACGUUGGGCUCAUCAAGGAGCUUAGUGUCGAAGCUAACGCGUUAAGUUGACCGCCUGGGGAGUACGGCCGCAAGGUUGAAACUCAAAGGAAUUGACGGGGGCCCGCACAAGCGGUGGAGCAUGUGGUUUAAUUCGAUGCAACGCGAAGAACCUUACCAGCCCUUGACAUCCUGGGAAUUUUGUAGAGAUACAUUAGUGCCUUCGGGAAUCCAGUGACAGGUGCUGCAUGGCUGUCGUCGGCUCGUGUCGUGAGAUGUUGGGUUAAGUCCCGCAACGAGCGCAACCCUUGUCCUUAGUUGCCAGCACGUUAUGGUGGGAACUCUAGGGAGACUGCCGGUGAUAAACCGGAGGAAGGUAAGGAUGACGUCAAGUCAGCAUGCCCCUUACGCUCUGGGCUACACACGUGCUACAAUGGUCGUGACAAAGAGUUGCUAGUCUGCGAAGGCAAGCCAAUCUCAUAAACGCGGCCUUAGUUCGGAUU
RNAcentral lists this ribosomal RNA (510 nucleotides) under uncultured bacterium. Its description in RNAcentral is "bacterial SSU rRNA". It matches the Rfam family "Bacterial small subunit ribosomal RNA", at positions 791 to 1299 of the family's 1533-position model. The record is from RNAcentral.